This is a long non-coding RNA of Rhipicephalus sanguineus (brown dog tick), 544 nucleotides long. RefSeq lists it as uncharacterized. The transcript has 6 exons. NCBI's taxonomy places the organism in Eukaryota, Metazoa, Arthropoda, Arachnida, Ixodida, Ixodidae. The record is from RefSeq and is a predicted model, not a curated record.
UUUAUCUCUGCCCGACGCGCAGACGCAGGCUUUUCUUGGCUAGUUCAUUGAUGUUACUCACUCACUCGCGUCGCACCAAGCCUAUGUUGAAUCUUCUUGUAAGCCUCCAGUUUUGCACUCCGUAGGUAAAAUGUAUCUUUUAGCAAUCAUUAUAUUCAUCAUAAUUUCCACCUAUGGCUCUUGGGUGACACCGGAAGAAGUGACAGCUGAUUCAGGAAGCGCCACGGAUGACCCCGACUUUUGUACCACAUGGUGCAAUAACGAAGAACGCCAAGACGACGAGAACCCCGAUCAACCACAACCAUGCAGCAAUUUUUACAAAUACGUGUGUGAAAACGAAAAGCGCGAUGUGGCGGUAGUUUCUGAUGAUUAUUAUGAAGAAACGGAAAUUCAAGAAAGCCAUUUAGAAACAGAAGUAAUACAGAAAAUUCGAGAUAUUUUAGAGAAGGAAGAAAAUGAUAACGGAACACAAGACUCGGGAACACCUAUUACGAAUGAAGUGAAUAUUCAUCAUAUUGCGAAGAAAAUUUACGCCGCCUGCAUA